AUUUGAGGCCUGCCUGGGCAUUUAGCAAGAGCCUGUCCAAAAUAAAAUGGGCUGAAAAUGUAGUCAGUGGUAAAGCACCCCUGGGAUCAAUCCUCAGUACUGAAAAAAAAAUUUUUUUUAAUAAUAUCAACCUUCAAGUUGCCCUCAAAAAGAUGACAUAGACAAAGUUUAUGUCUACAGAAUUUUGCAAUAUUGUUUGGAUUCCUCUAUAAUAGUACAUUUUGGGUUGGGGGGCGGUAACCGGGAUUUAACUCAGGGGCACUUGACCACUGAGCCACAUCCACAGCCCUAUUUUGUAUCUUAUUUAGGGUCUUACUGAGCUGUUAAGCACCUCAUCGUUGCUGAGGCUGGCUUUGAUUCUCAGCCUCCUGAGCCGCUGGAUUACAGGCAUGCACUACUGUGCCUGGCUUAAGAGUACAUUUUUUUUUAA
Molecule: long non-coding RNA, 430 nt
Filed under: Marmota monax (woodchuck)
Lineage: Eukaryota; Metazoa; Chordata; Mammalia; Rodentia; Sciuridae
Source: RNAcentral